Non-coding RNA from Cajanus cajan (pigeon pea), 1727 nucleotides. Lineage: Eukaryota; Viridiplantae; Streptophyta; Magnoliopsida; Fabales; Fabaceae. The record is from RefSeq and is a predicted model, not a curated record.
AGGAGGAAAAAAAAAUAGAAAAAGAAAAGCACAAAUGGCAUUGCGUCACUUACGAUUCUUCCCUCACACGCUUCCUCUCACUCUCACUCCCAAACCCAACAAUAACCGCUUCACUCCCUCACACUCUCUCUCUUCCUCAAUCAUGGCCAACGCUCACAAGGUCCUCGUUCCGAUCGCCGACGGCACCGAGCCUAUGGAGGCCGUCAUCACCAUCGACGUCAUCCGUCGUGCUGGCGCCGACGUCACCGUCGCUUCCGCCUCCUCCAACCUCGCCGUCCAAGCCCUCCACGGCGUCAAGAUCCUCGCCGAUGCCUCCGUCUCCGACGUCGCCGCCACCGCCUUUGACCUCGUCGCUCUCCCUGGAGGGUUACAGGGUGUUGAGAAUCUGAGAGACAGUAAAGUUCUGGAAGGGUUGGUGAAGAAGCAUGUCGAGGAUGGACGGCUUUAUGCUGCGGUGUGUGCUGCUCCUGCGGCAGUGCUUGGGCCUUGGGGUCUGCUCAAUGGGUUGAAGGCGACUUGUUAUCCUUCAUUGAUGGAGAAAUUGGCCUCUUACGCAGCCUCUACUGUUGAGUCUAGGGUGCAGGUGGAUGGCAGAGUUGUGACCAGUCGUGGCCCGGGAACUACCAUGGAGUUUGCUGUUGCAUUGAUUGAGCAGUUGAUUGGAAAAGAGAAAGCGGAUGAAGUUGCAGGUCCACUGGUCAUGCGUUCCAAUCAUGAUGAUGAACAUACUUUUAAGGAGCUUAACCCAGUGCAGUGGACAGUUGACAAUCCACCCAAGAUUCUUGUACCAAUUGCUAAUGGUUCAGAGGAAAUGGAAGCUGUGAUUAUCAUUGAUAUUCUGCGAAGAGCAAAGGCAAAGGUUGUGGUUGCUUCUGUUGAGGAUAAACUAGAGAUUGUGGCUUCACGCAAAGUUAAACUAGAGGCAGACAUGCUCCUUGAUGAAGCAGCCAAACUUUCAUAUGACCUUAUUGUGUUGCCUGGCGGACUUGGUGGUGCCCAAGCUUUUGCCAACUCAGAAACCUUGGUGAGUUUGCUGAAAAAGCAAAGAGAAUCAAACAAAUAUUAUGGAGCAAUUUGUGCAUCCCCGGCUUUAGUCUUGGAGCCCCAUGGCUUGCUGAAGGAUUUAGAAAAGCAUGCAUGGCAAACUGUAAAGUAGUGUUCAAGUUCAUUAUUAUCGAAGACACUUUCUGCUGAUGCUAAAUCCUCAGUGAAGUCUUCAUUCUAAUCAUUAUAUGGUAUUAUAAAAUGCUUGCAACUUGCAAGGCCUAAAUAUUUGUUUGAGCUUGAGUUCCGGGUAAAAAGGCCACUGCCUUUCCUGCAAUGUGCAGCAAGUUAUCAGAUCAGAGCGAAGUAGAAAACAGGGUGAUAGUUGAUGGUAACCUUGUUACCAGCAGAGGCCCUGGAACCACCUUCGAGUUUGCAUUUGCUAUUGUGGAAAAGCUGUUUGGACGCGAAUUAGCAUUAGAACUUGCGAAGACAAUGGUGUUCGCACGUUCGUAGGAUUUUUGAAUGCGAAGCUUUUUGUACGGAUGCUUAUAGAUUUGUGUAUGAAUAAUUUAUCUGAAUCUUGAGUUGUAAAGAACACGAAGAUAAGUGGUUGCUUAUAACUUGGGCAUCUCAUUUGUAGUUUUGCUUCCAUUAUGCCAUGGAGUCUAAAUUACUUAAAUGGAAGGAGAGUUCCUUUGGAAUUAUGCUGGGGUUAUAAUACAGCCUAAGAUUUAUUAUUA